UGCUGGCACUAUCUGACUAAAGCUAAUAUAUUCACUGAAAGAAGGUGAAUCUCCAUCCUGAACAGGCUAACAGCCUGUUUGCAAAUUGCCCUGUUACACCUUGGUGUCGCACGAGUCUGAUGCAAACAUAUGAUGUUAUGUACUCUACCUGAAAUCUCAAGCCACAGCACGGAGGCUAUCUCAUGAGCGAGACCAAAAGGAAAGAUGAACAUGUCUCACGCAGAGAAUGAAUGACUAAUAUGCAGAGGAUCAUGGAUGGGCACAGUUCUGCAGGGGAACUCCAUGCAAAUGGAAAGACCCAAGAUUUACAUAAGAUUUGGAACACCUUCCUGGAUCGCUUCAAAGAAAUGAGUGCUUGGGAAGUUAAACACACAGCUCCUGAAAACAAGAACCGAGGCAUACAGAAUGAGUAAAGAGCCAAGGCAACUUGGCACAGCCACGCAUAGAGUCUGUAAGUCAAGUGGGCGCUUAGAUACUCACACCCU
This 485-nucleotide long non-coding RNA is filed under the name Chrysemys picta bellii (western painted turtle). Its description in RNAcentral is "lncRNA (ENSCPBG00000016633.1)". Lineage: Eukaryota; Metazoa; Chordata; Testudines; Emydidae. The record is from RNAcentral.